GCAAGUCGAGGGGUAACAGGGAGAGCUUGCUUUCCGCUGACGACCGGCGCACGGGUGCGUAACGCGUAUGCAACCUACCUUAUACCGGGGAAUAGCCCGAAGAAAUUCGGAUUAAUGCCCCAUAGUAUUGUUUUUUCGCAUGUUAAGACAAUUAAAGAUUACGGUAUAAGAUGGGCAUGCGUCCCAUUAGCUAGAUGGUAAGGUAACGGCUCACCAAGACGAUGAUGCUUAGGGGGUCUGAGAGGAUAGUC
RNAcentral lists this ribosomal RNA (251 nucleotides) under uncultured bacterium. RNAcentral's name for it is "partial 16S ribosomal RNA". It matches the Rfam family "Bacterial small subunit ribosomal RNA", at positions 57 to 305 of the family's 1533-position model. The record is from RNAcentral.